CAGUCGCCGCGGGAAUACGUAGGUGGCAAGCGUUGUCCGGAAUUAUUGGGUGUAAAGGGCUCGCAGGCGGUUUCUUAAGUCUGAUGUGAAAGCCCCCGGCUCAACCGGGGAGGGUCAUUGGAAACUGGGAAACUUGAGUGCAGAAGAGGAGAGUGGAAUUCCACGUGUAGCGGUGAAAUGCGUAGAGAUGUGGAGGAACACCAGUGGCGAAGGCGACUCUCUGGUCUGUAACUGACGCUGAGGAGCGAAAGCGUGGGGAGCGAACAGGAUUAGAGACCCCUGUAGUCCCUGUCUCUUAUAC
This 301-nucleotide ribosomal RNA is filed under the name uncultured bacterium. RNAcentral's name for it is "partial 16S ribosomal RNA". It matches the Rfam family "Bacterial small subunit ribosomal RNA", at positions 509 to 807 of the family's 1533-position model. The record is from RNAcentral.